CUUCUCCCACCCCUAUCCAACCACUAGGUUUAAUGUGCUGAAUGUUUACUAGAGUAUUAGUAAUAAGAGGACGCCAGUCUCUGUAAACUGUGAACUCUUAAUAAAAAGAUAGCUCUUUAGUUUCUAUUAAAGAAGAAAACCUACAAGCCCAACAUGCCCAAGAGGAAGGGAGCUGAUGGAGAUGUCAAGGAGGAGGUUAGUCACACACACUUGAAUAUAACCAUUGUGGAGUUGGCUACAGGUGGUACUUCACAUGAUCAGUAGUGAUCUCUGGUGAUUUUAUCACAUUAUUUGCUAUUUUAAACCUGCAUGGAUCAUGCAUUCUUGAAAUAGGUUAGUAUUCAUUGUCUGCAUUAUGAAGAUAAAUAAAGCAUCAUCAUUUAGUUCCUUAUGAAAUGUUGUCGUGCAUCUUUGAAUGUUAUUUUUUUCUCGCCAUAAAUUAGCCUUCGAGGAGAUCUGCACGGUUGUCAUCGGUGAGUACAUCUUGUUUUUUAAAGCAGGGCGGUUCAAUUACAGAUCUGUAUAUAACGAAAAGUUGUUUACCUGGCAGGUUUGUUUCUAUGGGUUUAAUCUUUAAACCCAUAGAAACACAUCAGGCUUAUUCUGGACUGAUUUUGUCCAGAACAUCCUGCUUCACUCUUCUCUGUUUCAACUCUGGUCCUGGAGGGCUGAAACUCUUUUGGUUUUUACCCUCUCCUUCUAAUAAGGGAUGGUUUCAGAUCUGGGACACCAGGUCAUUCAAAUUAAUUAUGUAUCAGUAGAAACAAAAAACAGAAGUGUUUUGGCAUUCCAGUUGCAGUGUUGAAUAGUCCUGCUCAAAAGGUCACAUUUGGACAUUUAAUAUUUUUCUGAUAUACGGCAUCCACACUUCAGGUGAAAAGAGGUUUUCAAGCUGAAACAUUUAGCAUCUAAAGUGCUUUUUUAAAUGAUUCUUGGUAAAGUGUCAAGCAAGGUCAUGCCUCCAUAUCUUGCCAUGCCCCCUGAAUUAAUGACAUUUAUUUUAUAAAGCCCUUUUUACAUAAGCAGUUGUCAAAAAGUGCUUUAACAGAUACACAGACAGAAACCCUAAUGAGAAGGCAACAUUUAUAUAUAAAAUUGGUUUGAAUGAAGUGAUGGCACCAAUUACUAAGUUUUUCUAUUGGAUGUUACAUAUUUACAAAACGUCUCCCACACGUCUGUUGAAAGUGUGUGAAUUAUUGUGUUCACUGAUUAGGACAUUUAUCAUUAUUUCUAUUUAAGUAGAAGACAGCGACAGGAGCUAUACUGCUUUAGGAAACUCAUCAGUCAUCAUUACUGGACCUGUCAUAUUCUCUAAAGCUAGUGUAAAGUCCAGUUGCACUAAUGAUAAUGUACCUUGAAAAAUGUUAUUUUUAUUGUUGACAGAAGUGUAUCCACAACAAAAACAACAUACAUUAACAUAUUUUGAUGGUAUUUUCAAUUACCUUGCCAGUCAAGGCAUCAUUGAUUUAUACUGGUGUUCCACCCCUUUUAAACAAAUUUGCAAAACAAACGUUUUAAGACAGUUUUCUUCAUUGCAAGUUCUUCUGUAUUUUUCAGAAACCAGCACCUCCAAAACCAGCACCAAAACCAAAAAAGCCAGCUAAAAAAGAAAAAGAGGUAAAUGACAAGAAGAAGGUGAAGGCAGCAGCAGCCGAGGAACCAAAAGAGGAGACCCAGUCAGAAAAUGGCGAGACCAAGACAGACGAAGUAGAGACUCCAGAGGAGGCAGACGAUAAGGAGGAAGAGAAGACUGACUAGCACCGAUCCCAUACAUUCAAACCCCUCAUUUGUAUGGCCCCCAAGUCUCAUGUGUUUUCCCAAAAACCUCCAUUACCUUAUUAACAGAGGAAUAUUUUUAUCAACAAUUUUGUAAUUAUUGGUGCAUGUUUUUAGCACAAAAUAAAGCUAAAUAUGGAGGAUUGUUCUGUUGUGCAGUGGUCAUAUCAAGUGUUUUAAGCAAACAUAAUUACAGUUUUGUUGUUAUAUCAGUGUUGGUACCAUGUUGGGAGUUCAGACAGGAAAGCUGGCUAAUUACAGGUGGUAUAGUAUCACAUUGUAGGUUUGCCAACUCAGAACAUUUCACUUUUGUAGGUGGAUGUAUUUUUACCCUUGAUAUGUGCAGUGUUAUUUCUUUGUGUGGGGGUGUUCUUGUUUUCAACUUGAUUGUCUGUAAGAGGAAUUUAAAUAUUUUGAAAAAUGUAAAACAUUCCAGGCUUAAUAAUGUUGUGGGCAUACCUGCUUUUGAAAAAAUCUUGUUCUGAAUUAUUUUGAUGACACAAAUUAUUUUAGCAGAGGAAGAAGCUUGCUGGAAGUGGCUUAUGCUUUUUGAAACAAAUGUUGGUAUUUUUUAACAGUGAAAAUUAAUCUAUUGAAAUAUGCAGCUAUCGUUUGUGUUCCCACUGAAGUUCUGGAUAUCUAAUUGGAAUUUAAUAAAAGUAAUUGGAAUUUUCCUCAUGAGGAUGCAC
This is a long non-coding RNA of Esox lucius (northern pike), 2465 nucleotides long. NCBI's taxonomy places the organism in Eukaryota, Metazoa, Chordata, Actinopteri, Esociformes, Esocidae. The record is from Ensembl.